RNAcentral lists this ribosomal RNA (253 nucleotides) under uncultured bacterium. RNAcentral describes it as "partial 16S ribosomal RNA". It matches the Rfam family "Bacterial small subunit ribosomal RNA", at positions 524 to 776 of the family's 1533-position model. The record is from RNAcentral.
AACGUAGGAGCCUAGCGUUAUCCGAAUUCACUGGGCGUAAAGCGCGUGCAGGCGGUUCGGUAAGUUGGAUGUGAAAUCUCCUGGCUCAACUGGGAGAGGACGUUCAAGACUGUCGGACUAGAGGACGGUAGAGGAAGGUAGAAUUCCCGGUGUAGUGGUGAAAUGCGUAGAUAUCGGGAGGAACACCAGUGGCGAAGGCGACUUCCUGGCCUGUUCUUGACGCUGAGGCGCGAAAGCUAGGGGAGCAAACGGG